RNAcentral lists this ribosomal RNA (243 nucleotides) under Klebsiella pneumoniae. RNAcentral's name for it is "partial 16S ribosomal RNA". It matches the Rfam family "Bacterial small subunit ribosomal RNA", at positions 1030 to 1274 of the family's 1533-position model. The record is from RNAcentral. Lineage: Bacteria; Pseudomonadati; Pseudomonadota; Gammaproteobacteria; Enterobacterales; Enterobacteriaceae.
GGUGACAGGUGGUGCAUGGUUGUCGUCAGCUCGUGUCGUGAGAUGUUGGGUUAAGUCCCGCAACGAGCGCAACCCCUAUUGUUAGUUGCCAUCAUUCAGUUGGGCACUCUAGCGAGACUGCCGGUAAUAAACCGGAGGAAGGUGGGGAUGACGUCAAAUCAUCAUGCCCCUUAUGACCUGGGCUACACACGUGCUACAAUGGCUGGUACAACGAGUCGCAAGUCGGUGACGGCAAGCUAAUCU